Molecule: long non-coding RNA, 577 nt
Filed under: Homo sapiens (human)
Lineage: Eukaryota; Metazoa; Chordata; Mammalia; Primates; Hominidae
Description: HSALNT0090793
Source: RNAcentral
GCACAAGUCCUCUCUCUCUUUUCCUGCCGCCAUCCACCUAAGAUGUGACUUGCUCCUUGCCUUCCACCAUGAUUGUGAGGCCUCCCCAGCCAUGUGGAAAUCAUGUUCCAGAAGGCCAGGGCGGUCGGUUCUGCUGCACAAAUGAGGUCAGAGCAAUCAAGAGAGCCAAGGAAGUCCUACUUAUCUGGAUUAAAUAACUCAAUCUACAAACUACUCAACUUUAAUAUAAGGUGGAAAAUAGGAUUUCAAAAGAAAAGAAGAAGGAGAAGAACAAGGACAAGAAACUGAGUUUUGGCAGAAGGACUCCAUAGGAUCGGGAUCUGUGUCCUGCAGGAGAAACAAGAAGCUCUUAAAUGGCUGCAGAUGGUUUUCUCAGCCUAAGUUCCCAGUCUACUGGGAACUUAGUGGGUAGAGGGUGCCUGGCCAUAGAGAGGCAGAGUCGUCAAAUGUAUGCAGCCCUGGUAAGAUGACUUUGGCAUUGCUUGGACUCACAUCCUACGCACACCGUAUCUGUGUGUGGUCUUGUGCAAAUUUUUAAAAAUUUCCUCAGCUUUAGGUUUGCAUCUGUAAAGUGGAG